RNAcentral lists this long non-coding RNA (913 nucleotides) under Fragaria vesca (wild strawberry). RNAcentral's name for it is "long non-coding RNA (FVES_LNC002916)". Lineage: Eukaryota; Viridiplantae; Streptophyta; Magnoliopsida; Rosales; Rosaceae. The record is from RNAcentral.
AAAAGCAACAAAUUAAAUCAAUAUGCUUUACAAAACUUCAUCUUUAAGCUGCUUCUGUACAAAUUAAGUCAAAAACAGCAAUAUGAGUUUUCAGAAUAUUGCUUCUUUCGUUACAGAUGACUAAUGAUAAAAGGGGUUUACAUUUUCAUGUUGUCUUUGCUUACAAAGGAAGCAAUAAGUUGCUUUGAAGAGACUGAAUGGCUCAUGUCCCAUGAGACUCAUCACUCAUCAUGCUGUGCUCUAUCAACUUCUGCUAAACUUCCAGAUAGUUACAUAUUCUGCUAAAAUCGUACAUUUAUAGCUUCCAUGUGGCAGUUGUAACAAAAUGUUUUCUCAUAGCUGGAAUAGGGCUCUUUACCAUAACACAGUGUCAUGGGUUAUCAAUGGGAGCCAAAUAGAAGGCUAAAUCUUUGCCAUUCUCAUUCUCCUAACUACCAUCAUAAAUGGACAAGUGAGAAACACAGCUAAGCCAAGGCUUUGUUUUCUUCUUUGCUACUUGUUUCCUCUAUAUAUACCGGUCAUUUCAUGGUGUGAUUUAGAUUGUAUUUCGAUGGUCUCAUAUCAGAAAGAAGCAAUGGAAUUUGAAGGUGCAUCACCAAAACAAAAGAUGUUAUGCUGUGAUCAUGUCCGAAAACGCAAGGAGGAGAAGGGCUUUUUCUCUGCUUGGUUUGUUCCUCAGUUCUCACUAAUCUGAAUUUCAUACGUUUCUCAUUUCUUGAUCUUACUACCCUAUGCUUAAUAUUGGAUUACAUUGGUAUUGCAGUUUGUUUGCUAUGUUCUGCUGCUGUUGCUGCUAUGGUGGCUGCUGCUGUGGUCCUUAGAUUAUUGCCAUUGUGUGGGAUCAGUACAAAUAAAUCACAGAUGAUUGUAAUGAAGUGGUUGUAAACAAAUUCAUUUAGUUAAUAGAAAUUAU